Molecule: ribosomal RNA, 1477 nt
Filed under: Klebsiella pneumoniae subsp. pneumoniae
Lineage: Bacteria; Pseudomonadati; Pseudomonadota; Gammaproteobacteria; Enterobacterales; Enterobacteriaceae
Description: bacterial SSU rRNA
Rfam family: Bacterial small subunit ribosomal RNA
Source: RNAcentral
GCUCAGAUUGAACGCUGGCGGCAGGCCUAACACAUGCAAGUCGAGCGGUAGCACAGAGAGCUUGCUCUCGGGUGACGAGCGGCGGACGGGUGAGUAAUGUCUGGGAAACUGCCUGAUGGAGGGGGAUAACUACUGGAAACGGUAGCUAAUACCGCAUAACGUCGCAAGACCAAAGUGGGGGACCUUCGGGCCUCAUGCCAUCAGAUGUGCCCAGAUGGGAUUAGCUAGUAGGUGGGGUAACGGCUCACCUAGGCGACGAUCCCUAGCUGGUCUGAGAGGAUGACCAGCCACACUGGAACUGAGACACGGUCCAGACUCCUACGGGAGGCAGCAGUGGGGAAUAUUGCACAAUGGGCGCAAGCCUGAUGCAGCCAUGCCGCGUGUGUGAAGAAGGCCUUCGGGUUGUAAAGCACUUUCAGCGGGGAGGAAGGCGAUAAGGUUAAUAACCUUGUCGAUUGACGUUACCCGCAGAAGAAGCACCGGCUAACUCCGUGCCAGCAGCCGCGGUAAUACGGAGGGUGCAAGCGUUAAUCGGAAUUACUGGGCGUAAAGCGCACGCAGGCGGUCCUGUCAAGUUCGGAUGUGAAAUUCCCCGGGCUCAACCUGGGAACUGCAUUCGAAACUGGCAGGCUAGAGUCUUGUAGAGGGGGGUAGAAUUCCAGGUGUAGCGGUGAAAUGCGUAGAGAUCUGGAGGAAUACCGGUGGCGAAGGCGGCCCCCUGGACAAAGACUGACGCUCAGGUGCGAAAGCGUGGGGAGCAAACAGGAUUAGAUACCCUGGUAGUCCACGCCGUAAACGAUGUCGAUUUGGAGGUUGUGCCCUUGAGGCGUGGCUUCCGGAGCUAACGCGUUAAAUCGACCGCCUGGGGAGUACGGCCGCAAGGUUAAAACUCAAAUGAAUUGACGGGGGCCCGCACAAGCGGUGGAGCAUGUGGUUUAAUUCGAUGCAACGCGAAGAACCUUACCUGGUCUUGACAUCCACAGAACUUUCCAGAGAUGGAUUGGUGCCUUCGGGAACUGUGAGACAGGUGCUGCAUGGCUGUCGUCAGCUCGUGUUGUGAAAUGUUGGGUUAAGUCCCGCAACGAGCGCAACCCUUAUCCUUUGUUGCCAGCGGUUCGGCCGGGAACUCAAAGGAGACUGCCAGUGAUAAACUGGAGGAAGGUGGGGAUGACGUCAAGUCAUCAUGGCCCUUACGACCAGGGCUACACACGUGCUACAAUGGCAUAUACAAAGAGAAGCGACCUCGCGAGAGCAAGCGGACCUCAUAAAGUAUGUCGUAGUCCGGAUUGGAGUCUGCAACUCGACUCCAUGAAGUCGGAAUCGCUAGUAAUCGUAGAUCAGAAUGCUACGGUGAAUACGUUCCCGGGCCUUGUACACACCGCCCGUCACACCAUGGGGAGUGGGUUGCAAAAGAAGUAGGUAGCUUAACCUUCGGGAGGGCGCUUACCACUUUGUGAUUCAUGACUGGGGUGAUCAA